UACGAAGGGGGCUAGCGUUGUUCGGAAUCCCUGGGCGUAAAGGGCGCGUAGGCGGCGCGACAAGUCAGGCGUGAAAGCCCCGGGCUCAACCCGGGAAUUGCGCUUGAUACUGUCGUGCUUGAGGCCGGGAGAGGAUGGCGGAAUUCCCAGUGUAGAGGUGAAAUUCGUAGAUAUUGGGAAGAACACCGGUGGCGAAGGCGUCUCACUGGCCCGUUACUGACGCUCAGGCGCGACAGCGUGGGGAUCAAACAGG
This 253-nucleotide ribosomal RNA is filed under the name uncultured bacterium. RNAcentral's name for it is "partial 16S ribosomal RNA". It matches the Rfam family "Bacterial small subunit ribosomal RNA", at positions 524 to 776 of the family's 1533-position model. The record is from RNAcentral.